GCUGCCGCUGCGCCAUCACGCGAUUUCUGUUCUCAUCCUGAAGCAAAGUUCUUAACCCGAGGUACUAUUUCUGGGUUAGUGGAGUCUGUAACCUGAAGCGUCUGUAAGCCAAGGUACCACUGUACUGAAGAGAACAUCAUGGGCUGAAGCACUGUUCUCCAUUAAUUUACAGCAAGUGUGAAAUCGGUUUCAUCCACAGAUGAGAUCUCGACUAAAAAUGAGGCACCCAACACAUCCCACCAAAUGGUGGUUUCCCAAAUUGUGGCUGGGUUUGGCGUUGUGCUUUUAAAGAGAGCCCGGUUCAAAUCCCCACCCCUCCCUCAGCUAUGAAGCUCACUGGGUGACAUUUUGUGAGGUAAGUCACCCUCAUCUACCUCGAAGGAUUGUUGGAAGGAUAAAAUGGUGGGGGAACCUUUAAAUCAGAGCUUUCCAAAGAGUGUGUCGCGACAUGUUAGUGCGCCGACUGCAAUGUGAAGGUCUGUCACGCGAAUGCUCCGGGGGGGCUAGAAAAGGGACAGGGAAGCCCCCUCCAGAUGGAGCUCCGACACUCAUCAGGCACAGCCAGAAAGGUUAGGGAUGCCGAGAGCUGUAGUCCGAUGGUGUGGCAGCAAGACAACCAGCGUGGAAACAUCCUGCUUUUGCAAAGAUCAUUUUAUUCAGCUUAAGAAAUAAAGCAGAAAAAGAGGCAGAAAGGUAUUCAAAACAAAGCAUAUUUGUAUUCAAAGCAAAGCUAGAGAUGGAGAGAGAAAGCGAACGAUACCAUUUUAUAAAAUAAAACAAAAAUCAGCAAAAAGGGAUUAAAAAGAGCUACGCACAG
Long non-coding RNA from Podarcis raffonei (Aeolian wall lizard), 817 nucleotides. RefSeq lists it as uncharacterized. NCBI's taxonomy places the organism in Eukaryota, Metazoa, Chordata, Lepidosauria, Squamata, Lacertidae. The record is from RefSeq and is a predicted model, not a curated record. The transcript has 2 exons.